This 554-nucleotide ribosomal RNA is filed under the name Syncephalastrum racemosum. Its description in RNAcentral is "eukaryotic LSU rRNA". It matches the Rfam family "Eukaryotic large subunit ribosomal RNA", at positions 72 to 636 of the family's 3401-position model. The record is from RNAcentral. Lineage: Eukaryota; Fungi; Mucoromycota; Mucoromycetes; Mucorales; Syncephalastraceae.
UGAUUGCCCUAGUAACGGCGAGUGAAGAGGCAAAAGCUCAAGUUUGGAAGCUCAAUGGUUUAACCAUUGCGCAUUGUAAACUGAAAACAGGAUCAAUCAGGUACACCGGGUGAUAAGUUCCUUGGAAUAGGACAUCAUGGAGGGUGAGAAUCCCGUCUUUGACCCGAGUCUAGUAUCUUUUGUAUUGGCCUGUUCAAGAGUCAGGUUGUUUGGGAAUGCAGCCUAAAGCUGGAGGUAAAUCCCUCCUGAAGCUAAAUAAUGGCGAGAGACCGAUAGCGAACAAGUACCGUGAGGGAAAGAUGAAAAGAACUCUGAAGAGAGAGUUAAACAGUACGUGAAAUUGCUUAAAGGGAAGCAUAUAAAGCUAGGAUGCGAUUGUUUUCUUCAGGUUGAGCUUUGGCUUGACUGUUCAGAAGGAUAAUCCAAGACAACAAGAAUUGGAGGAGGAGAAUAAGCCAUUGGGGAAGGUAAUCCUUCGGGAUGUUUAUAGACCUGAUGGUUCGCGCUCUUCUUUCGAUUGAGCUACGCUUUUCUUAAAGGUUGUUGACUGAAUG